UACGGGGGGAGCAAGCGUUGUUCGGAUUUACUGGGCGUAAAGGGCGCGUAGGCGGUCAGCACAAGUCAGUUGUGAAAUCUCCGGGCUUAACUCGGAAAGGUCAACUGAUACUGUGCGACUAGAGUGCAGAAGGGGCAACUGGAAUUCUUGGUGUAGCGGUGAAAUGCGUAGAUAUCAAGAGGAACACCUGCGGCGAAGGCGGGUUGCUGGGCUGACACUGACGCUGAAGUGCGAAAGCUAGGGGAGCGAACGGG
Molecule: ribosomal RNA, 254 nt
Filed under: uncultured bacterium
Lineage: Bacteria
Description: partial 16S ribosomal RNA
Rfam family: Bacterial small subunit ribosomal RNA
Source: RNAcentral